UUCUUUCUCUCUGUGCGUGUGUGUGUGUGUGUCUGUGUCCCUGUGUGUGUGUGUCUGCGUGUGUUUAAAGGCUCCUUUGAACUGCCUUUGUGCUGAGUCGGCGCUGCAUUUUGCCAAUGCUAGUCACGGUCAUACGAACUUUGUGUUAACCUCUUAUGUCGAAUGAAUCUUUUCAUUUGGAAGCCCAUAAAUCUCAUUCCGUAGCUCCUUUUGUGCGGCACGCUACGACUUAGUAAGCCAAGUGUGCGCCGAACAACUUAAAAAAAAAUAAACCAGAGACAGAGAGACAAAAAAAGUUGCGACCGAUAAAAAAAAGUACAACUUAAAAAAAAGAGAGAUUCCAAUGUAAAGUACGGGACUGGCAACUCGCAGGAGGGACGUGGAAAGGGAACGGAGAGGAAACGAAGCACCACGCACAAUCACAAGUUCGCCUCAUUUGAAUGGGAUUUAUAUUCGGACAUUUCAGCGACACAAGUGGCGCACAAUGCACGAUCAGCGUGGACUGUACUGGAACUAUUCAUAUUGUUCCAUGGUGGAGGUGAGGAGAAUUGACCAGGGAUUUCGGAGCUGAUCUUUAUGCAAAGACCUCGCCUUCCUUGGUCCACAGAUUUCGAUAUUACGGGGGGGCUUUGAAUCACUACACCUUUACUUGUUUGCAUUCACUUCUGGGACCAAACCAACGUUGUGCUUCACUCUGGAAGGCCCAACACUUGUUAAAAGUUGACGAAAGCAUUGACGCCAGGAACGAAAUCUACCCGUGGCUUCAAAAUCCCUUGGCAUGUGCUGGUGACAUCACACGAUGCCGGUCGCCCCGUCAACAUCCAGUCUCUCGCAACUGUCAUUUAAAGUCGCAAGCGAAUGAAAAAUGACUAUGAGACACACUGGCUCCCCGAACUGACCUUGGGUAUUAUUGGAAUGACCUCACAUCGGUUUGACCAGAAGACCUUUGAUAUCUGCAUGAGGAAAAUAUACGAGUGAGAUGCCUUGUCUGCCAAUUGAAAAGGACAAUAAUCGGCGAGAGUAGCACAAGAUCUCACGCUAUUCUGCAGCUUAUUUCUAUCAACAUUAAAAUGUGAUCAAUACACUCAAAUGGAAUCUCUUCCCAUUGCUUUCAGAAGGCAAUAUACGUCAUUGCUUUGUUACAAUUGGGGGGGGGAAAGCCAUGUGUAUGUUAUGUGUCCUCCCUGUCAGUUAGAAAUGAAUCGGAUGGUCGAUAGAGUUUAACUCCUGUCAAAGGGAAUUCUAUUACAGGUUAUGACAGAAUGGGGAGAGGAUGGGGGAACUCGGCGGAAACAAUAAGGGGGCAUCCCACGUUCUGAACCGCCCGUUUAGUAAUCAGCCCCAGCGCUCACUAAUGAUCUGAAAAAUAUAGGUAUACGGGAUUCUUUGAUGUAAUCAGCUUUUCUCCACUCAAUCGCGCAGUCUACCCCGUCCCUAAACAAGCUCUAAACACUACCUUGGCCUAAUCAGCUCAGACACUCGAAGCACGUUCCAUGACUAAUACGAUAUCCUCAAAACAAAUUAAUGAGGACUGAUUACGGGAAAGCAGGUCCAUUCCCGGCUCCAGUUUCACCUCCCGCCACGUUCAUCUUCCUCAGUCAGUCUCUUCCUCCCCCCUCUACACAUUUCAUCAAUUCCUUUUACCUCUCCCCCCUCUCCACCUACUUGCCUACCCAUUUAGUCCCCUUCUUAGUGCCUUCACCUUCUAUCCCCUCCCACUAACACGCACUUGUACCUUUGUCCCUCUCAUGCCCAGAAUAAUUCCCAACCAACGUCGUUUUAAGGGAACUGUUAGACACCCAGAUAUAUAGACACAAAAUGUUGGGGUAACUCAGCGGGUCGGGCAGCGUCUCCGGAUAAAAGGAAUAGAUGACAUUCCUGUCGAGACCCUUCUUCAGACUGAAAGUCCGUAAAAUGGCCUCGUCCCGAACCGUCACAAAUUCCCUUUCUCCAGAGAUGCUGUCUGACCCGCUGAGUUACUCCAGUAUUUUGUGUCUAUCUUCGGUGUAAACCAGCAUCUAUAGUUCCUUCCUAUACUUUUAGAUAUAUGCCCUCAUCAGCUGAUAAUAUUAAGUUGGCGCCCCCUUGUAUGCGGCCAAUAUAGAAUGUCCUGUUACAUUAUGUGCCUGUCUGGUAUAUUUCGCAUUGCUUGACACGAAGGCUGGAGUAACUCAACGGGUCAGGCAGCAUCUCUGGAGAAAAUGGAUGGGUGACAUUUCGGGUCGGGACCUUUACUUCAAUGUGACCCGAAACGUCACCUAUCCUUUUUCUCCAGAGGUGCUGCCUGGCCAGAUGAGUUACUCCAGCAUUUUGUGACUAUCUUUAGUAUCAACCAGCAUCUGCAGUUCUUUCUUUCUAUAUUUCACAUUAAGAUGAAUCUGGCCACAAUUAGCAGAAACGCUCUGUCUAAAGGAAGUGGCCAGGAGAUAAUGAGUUAGCACAGGCUCAGAUGAUUACUAAGUUAGAGCACCAUUCAGAAAAAUAAAAUUAAUUUUAUUUCAUACUAAAACUAAUCAAAUUAAAAUGGGUGGCAUAAACCAUCAUGGAAGGCAUUGUAGGGAAAUGCAGCAUCUUUUUCUACUCUCCUCCUAAUCUACACACUUCCAAGCAAUUUUGAAAUCAAUACCAAUAUUGUCAUGGGCACUUAUGACCAUUGGAGCACAGGAGUUGAGGUUGCACGUCGGUCAAAAUGCUAAAAUACUUUCUUUCCAAAUGGACACUCGAGACAAUGGGACUGCAGCAUGCUGUAUUAUUUGUGGCUGAAACACGGGGAUACAAAUAUUUCAAAGGCUGCAGAUACUGGCAGUAAUAUUUCUAUGAACAAAAUGAUACUUAGCUUUUAUUUUAAUUGAUAAUUUAGCAGCGCGGCGUUGCAUCGUCCGCUAUUCAAUGUUACACUUCACGGGGAAUGGCAACAUUAACAGCUCUUAAUAUUUCAGAAAGAUAUCAUUUAAGGCAAGCAGCCGUUGUCAUUUUGUAAAAUGUGUCGCCAAAUUUCUGACUAAACGGUCACCUAAUCGAUCAUCCGCGGGGAAACCCUAAAAGUUAUUGUCAUGAAAUAAAUAGUUGACCCAUAUAUCACCAAUAAACUUUGCAACUGA
This is a long non-coding RNA of Leucoraja erinaceus (little skate), 3101 nucleotides long. RefSeq lists it as uncharacterized. NCBI's taxonomy places the organism in Eukaryota, Metazoa, Chordata, Chondrichthyes, Rajiformes, Rajidae. The record is from RefSeq and is a predicted model, not a curated record. The transcript has 5 exons.